CAAAUACCCGUUUACUGUCUCCGCUAACGCGUCGCCAGUAAACUUAAUUUGCGACCAUCAAAUCCCCAAUUGAUGCCGUCGGAGCUUAAAAUACAAUACAGUUAUCUCCUAAUUCUACGUACUUUUCUUAUAUUUAAAGCAAUUCACUAUCUGCUAGAAAUAGAAAGAGAACAAACACAUUGAAGUUUUAUGACUUAAUGAAUUCCCCCAA
This 211-nucleotide long non-coding RNA is filed under the name Mytilus galloprovincialis (Mediterranean mussel). The record is from RNAcentral. Lineage: Eukaryota; Metazoa; Mollusca; Bivalvia; Mytilida; Mytilidae.